GAUGAACGCUAGCGGCAGGCUUAACACAUGCAAGUCGAGGGGCAGCAUAAUGGAUAGCAAUAUCUAUGGUGGCGACCGGCGCACGGGUGCGUAACGCGUAUGCAACCUACCUUUAACAGGGGGAUAACACUGAGAAAUUGGUACUAAUACCCCAUAAUAUCAUAGAAGGCAUCUUUUAUGGUUGAAAAUUCCGAUGGUUAGAGAUGGGCAUGCGUUGUAUUAGCUAGUUGGUGGGGUAACGGCUCACCAAGGCGACGAUACAUAGGGGGACUGGGAGGUUGAACGGCCACAUUGGGACUGAGAUACGGCCCAG
This 313-nucleotide ribosomal RNA is filed under the name uncultured bacterium. RNAcentral describes it as "bacterial SSU rRNA". It matches the Rfam family "Bacterial small subunit ribosomal RNA", at positions 28 to 334 of the family's 1533-position model. The record is from RNAcentral.